GUGGGGAAUAUUGGACAAUGGGCGAAAGCCUGAUCCAGCCAUGCCGCGUGUGUGAAGAAGGUCUUCGGAUUGUAAAGCACUUUAAGUUGGGAGGAAGGGCAGUAAGCUAAUACCUUGCUGUUUUGACGUUACCGACAGAAUAAGCACCGGCUAACUUCGUGCCAGCAGCCGCGGUAAUACGAAGGGUGCAAGCGUUAAUCGGAAUUACUGGGCGUAAAGCGCGCGUAGGUGGUUUUGUAAGUUGGAGGUGAAAUCCCCGGGCUCAACCUGGGAACUGCCUCCAAAACUGCAUGACUAGAGUACGGUAGAGUGUAGUGGAAUUUCCUGUGUAGCGGUGAAAUGCGUAGAUAUAGGAAGGAACACCAGUGGCGAAGGCGACUACCUGGACUGAUACUGACACUGAGGUGCGAAAGCGUGGGGAGCAAACAGGAUUAGAAACCCGGGUAGUCC
RNAcentral lists this ribosomal RNA (450 nucleotides) under uncultured bacterium. RNAcentral's name for it is "bacterial SSU rRNA". It matches the Rfam family "Bacterial small subunit ribosomal RNA", at positions 354 to 796 of the family's 1533-position model. The record is from RNAcentral.